GGUGAGAUGUCCGAGCGGUUGAAGGAGCACGCCUGGAAAGUGUGUAUACGGCAACGUAUCGAGGGUUCGAAUCCCUCUCUCACCGCCA
RNAcentral lists this transfer RNA (88 nucleotides) under Gammaproteobacteria bacterium. RNAcentral describes it as "tRNA-Ser". It matches the Rfam family "tRNA". Rfam says of the family: Transfer RNA (tRNA) molecules are approximately 80 nucleotides in length. Their secondary structure includes four short double-helical elements and three loops (D, anti-codon, and T loops). Further hydrogen bonds mediate the characteristic L-shaped molecular structure. tRNAs have two regions of fundamental functional importance: the anti-codon, which is responsible for specific mRNA codon recognition, and the 3' end, to which the tRNAs corresponding amino acid is attached (by aminoacyl-tRNA synthetases). tRNAs cope with the degeneracy of the genetic code in two manners: having more than one tRNA (with a specific anti-codon) for a particular amino acid; and 'wobble' base-pairing, i.e. permitting non-standard base-pairing at the 3rd anti-codon position. RNAcentral also lists the same sequence under 1 other name. The record is from RNAcentral. Lineage: Bacteria; Pseudomonadati; Pseudomonadota; Gammaproteobacteria.